GGUGUGGCGAACGCAAUAGAACAACAAAA
This 29-nucleotide non-coding RNA is filed under the name Cricetulus griseus (Chinese hamster). Lineage: Eukaryota; Metazoa; Chordata; Mammalia; Rodentia; Cricetidae. The record is from RNAcentral.